RNAcentral lists this ribosomal RNA (435 nucleotides) under uncultured bacterium. Its description in RNAcentral is "partial 16S ribosomal RNA". It matches the Rfam family "Bacterial small subunit ribosomal RNA", at positions 30 to 507 of the family's 1533-position model. The record is from RNAcentral.
AGCGAACGCUGGCGGCAGGCUUAACACAUGCAAGUCGAGCGGGCACUUUCGGGUGUCUGCGGCGUACGGGUGACGAACGCGUGGGAACGUGCCCUCUCGUUCGGAUUAACUCAUGGAAACUUGAGCUAAUACCGGAUAUGCCCCUUUUGGGGAAGGCGUGCUGCCGGAGGAUCGGGCCGCGUCUGGUUAGUUAGUUGGUGGGGUGAGCGGUCACCAAGGCGGCGAUCAGUAGAGGGUAUGAGAGGAUGAUCAGCCACACCGGGACUGGGAAGCGGCGCGGACUACUACGGGAGGCAGGAGUGGGUGAUAUUGGACAAUGGGGGGAAGGCUGAUGCAGCCAUGCUGCGUGAGUGAUGAAGGCGUUAGGGUUGUAAAGCUCUUUUAUCCGGGACGAUAAUGACGGUACCGGAGGAAUAAGCACCGGCUAACUUCGUG